UGCUCUGUUGCUUGUUGCGGC
RNAcentral lists this non-coding RNA (21 nucleotides) under Arabidopsis thaliana (thale cress). Lineage: Eukaryota; Viridiplantae; Streptophyta; Magnoliopsida; Brassicales; Brassicaceae. The record is from RNAcentral.